AACACACCAGAACACAUCUUCCUAGCUCUAUUCAUGCUGGGAAGGGGUGUCCAAGUGUGUGUCACAGAAUCAUACAUCUCGGCAGAGCUCAGUAUCUUUCCAGAAGCAUCGGUGCCUCCAGCGACAUACGCCUUUUCACCGACGCUUGUUGAUCCAAACAAGCACCGGGGAGAGUUCAUGGGAUCAGCCCUUGUCCAUGAAUUGGUCAGGAUGCUAUAUCUGAACACAAUGUGUGCCAUCCCAAACACAAGCAGCUCGGUGCCCACAGCCAGGGACUCCUUGUCAGAGCACAUGAAGCAUUCAUCCGGUGGCAUCUUGGGCACCUGGAUCCAGCGCUCCCUGUAGGGGUCAUAG
RNAcentral lists this ribosomal RNA (354 nucleotides) under Triticum aestivum (bread wheat). Its description in RNAcentral is "partial small subunit ribosomal RNA". The record is from RNAcentral. Lineage: Eukaryota; Viridiplantae; Streptophyta; Magnoliopsida; Poales; Poaceae.